CAGGUCCGUCCGUCCAUCCCCUUCCUUCCCCCUUGUCCCGUCUCGCUCCUCUCGUCAGUGGAGAGUGGGGAGUGGUGGAUUGACAUGACACGUGGGCCCCGCACAUAGGCAGGCAGUGGCGUCGUGUCGGGGGCACACAUGGGUGGCUCCUUUUGCCUGCCCACAUGCCAUUGGUACGAACGGGUCAACGAGCGUCAGGAAAUUAGCAUUAGCAUCUAUGAAGAGCGAUCGAGGAAUAUUUGUUCUGAAUUUGUCACUCCUUUGGUUUUGCUUAGAUUAUUAACAUAAUAAUUGGCAUGGCAUGAAAUUGACUGCGUGGUUGCUGAAAUUGCAGGCGUACAUGGUCGGCGAGCACGGCGACAGCUCGGUGGCGGUGUGGUCGAGCGUCAGCGUGGCGGGGAUGCCGGUGCUCAAGUCGCUGCAGGCGAGCCACCGCUGCUUCGACGAGGAGGCGCUCGAGGGCAUCCGCCGCUCCGUCGUCGACAGCGCCUACGAGGUGAUCAGCCUCAAGGGCUACACCUCCUGGGCCAUCGGCUACUCCGUCGCCAGCCUCGCCGCCUCGCUCCUCCGGGACCAGCGCCGCAUCCACCCCGUCUCCGUCCUCGCCAGGGGGUUCCACGGCAUCGCGCCCGAGAACGACGUCUUCCUCAGCCUGCCCGCAAGGCUCGGACGCGGCGGCGUGCUCGGCGUCGCGGAGAUGGAGCUCACCGAGGAGGAGGCCAAGAAGCUCCGCCGCUCCGCCAAGACGCUCUGGGAGAACUGCCAGCAGCUCGGCCUCUGAUCUUUAAUUCAUUGGGAUCCAUCUCACUGUGUUUUGGAUCGGGUUCCUUGCUAUUGCUACCCCACGCUGCCGCGUCGCCUUUUUCAAUGUUAGACUUCAUUCAUGUGCUUUCUCGUUAAGGGCUCGUUUGGUGCCAUCCGGCUCCGGCUCGCCGGUCCGUGAGGGCGAGGAGGAGGGAGAAACAAAACCGACUUCCGUGAACAGUGUAGCUACACUAUAUGAAUAGUGGUGUAUGUCAGGUGAAGUUGGAGUUGGUGGGAGCUUCACCAAACUAGACCUAAUUGUUCCUGCGGUUUAUUUUUACUGAAAAGUUUAGUGCUCAAGCACCAUAUAUUCAGCUUACCUGAACAAUUUGCACAUGUAGAUAGUCUUCAAAAGGGUGGAUCAAAAUAUUAAUUUGUCGUUGAAUGAAAUAGUAACUCACAGCAAAAAAAACAUGUUCAGUAUGUGCUCUGUAUCUCUGAGAAUUCAGCACGCCAACAUGAAGAGAAUAGGAGAUUGUCCCUUGGAUGGAUUACUGUCUUGCGGUGGUAGUGACCACUGCACCCGAUCUGUCUUCCAAAAGGAACUAGCCUUUCUUCUUUUCUUUUAAAAACUGAGCUAUGAAAUUUUUCCUGUAAAUUUGCCUCCAUCGGAGUUCGGAUGAGGAAGAUAUAGCCUAUGCAAGUUUUAGUUCCUCCCGCGGGCUUAUAGUUCAAUGUUUGUAUUUGGGCCUUCGAAUGUCCAAAGUCCGGGUCCAAUUCCAACUUGUAGAAAAAUCCUUCAAUUAUAUCAUAUUUCUUGUGAUUUUGCAAUAUGCUCCAAAAUACAACACAUAUGCGAUAAUGGGGUUAUUUCAAGUGCCAAGUGACGGGUUAGUAUAAGAAUAUGUAUGAAAAUACCACUUAAAUAGCACUAAAAGUAUGUAAAUAACGAGCAUUAACAAGCAACAUCUAACUCGAUCUCGCAUGAGAAUGAAACGUCAAGAAGAUAAGAAUAGAUCAGAACGCAAGUUCGAGGUCGGUGAUCUGGUCUUCUUGAAACUCUAGCCGUAUGUGCAAUCUUCAUUGGCUUCGUGAGGAAGAUGGCUUUCAAAUACUUCGGUCCAUUCAAGAUUGUGGCCAAUGUGGGAAAGAUGACUUACAAACUGCUGUUACCUGCUUCGUCGUCUAUUCACCCUAUGUUUCGCAUCAGUCAAUUGAAGGCUGCAGUCACUGAAGACGUCGAGGUAUUGCCUUCCUUUCCUUUUGACUUGGACAUUCAAAUUGAUUCCGCAGCAUCGCCUGACUACUCAGGGUAUUCAACCGGUGCAACAAAUUUUGGUGAAAUGGUCAAAUUGGCCGGUAGAAAUGGCAGCUUGGGAGGAUAUUAUUGCCUUGCAACAGCUUUUUUCAUUUGCGCCUGCUUGGGUCAAGUAGCGUCUCAAGGGAGGGGGAAUGUCAGCACUACGUCAUCAAGCCAAUAUCAUGAGCAGGUGCCGACAACAGCAAAUGGGCCAACCAGUUCCAGACCUAGGAAGCCCAAUUCACUUUGGACCGGAGAAGACUGGACUGUCUGAUGGGUGCUUGCAUGCACGAAAUAGGACCUAGCCCAUGUAAUAGCUGCGUUUACUUAUAGAGGUGAGGUAGAGGAGGAGAGCAUCUUUAACAUGUAUGAACAAUCAACUCCUUCAGCAAGCUAACGGACCUCGUGGUGCCGUCUCUAUUCUUCUUCCUGUCCCUUGCUUGCUCGUGCUCCAAAUUCCUUCCUCUCUUCUAUCCCAACUACCCUUCAGUUAACACAUUUCCCUGUUGUACGCCGCCUGGAACGCGGCUACGCUGCUGGCCAAGAGGGCUCGGGUAUCCUCCGCUUCCUCAAGAUCCUCAAUCCCAUCCACCAUGCGCUACAAGAUGCCCUCGGUGAAGUUAGGGUAGACUUGGUGCUCUAGUUCCUCGACCAUCAGCGUGUUGAUGAGCUCUUGAUCCACCCGCAUGAGCUCCGUCCUCCUCUUCCUCGUUGUCUCUGUGGCUGGCGGCAGUUUGGUGGACUUAAGAUGCCCUCGUCCGCCACCGCUGUCUCCAUGCCGCCGCUCGCCGCCUUGCUCACCUCCAUCACAAUUGUCGACUAUCUCUUGAUCUGAUCCUAGCCGUUUCUCUGUAACGCCAUUUAUGUAUUUAUGUGGAGGAUUCCCUUUCCUUAGCAGGAUCGGACUAGGUUGGAAAAGCGGAGGCCUAUCUAGUUGGGCCAAAUGGGCUGGACUAGCCUAGCCCCCAACUCGUGUGGACCAAAGAGGUGGGCUAAUUGGGCCAAUUUUUUUUAAAAAAAAAUAGAGACCUCAGUCAAAUAAUGUUUUGGGUCUUAAAAAAAACUAUUUUGGGUGUUGCAGGCCGACCGUCUCCUGCUGCAGGCAAAACAUUCGCAGGUGUCUUUAACGGGGUGUUUGGAUCCUGGAGCUAAAGUUUAGUCCGUGUCACAUUGAAUAUUCGGAGGCUAAUUAGGAGGACUAAAUAUUAGUUAAUUAUAAAACUAAUUACAUAGAUGGAGGCUAAACGACGAGACGAAUCUAUUAAGCCUAAUUAAUCCAUCAUUAGCAAAUGGUUAAUAUAACAGCACAUUGUCAAAUCAUAGACUAAUUAGGCUUAAUAGGUUCGCCUCCAUCCGUACAAUGGGUUUUGUAAAUAGUCUAUAUUUAAUACUCCUAAUAAGCACGGUGAUGGUGAUUGGUGCAGGGCACCCCACCGACCGGCACAGUGACUAGGAUUUGGGCCGUCAUGACCAUUCACCGAAGCUUCCUCUUGGGAAGAAAGAAAGCUUCAGCAGCUAGCCAAGGUCAUGGUGGAAUAAUGGACCGCAGAACGGAAUCUAUGGAGAAAAUCGAUCUAAGGUGUGGACGUUAGUUAGGUGAAAACCGGCUGGCGUGCGUACGUCUAAUAAGACGGAGGAGGACUAGCAAAUUCAGGUGGGCCGUUUGACGGUGCCAUCAUACUAGUAAGUACGUACGGAGAUUAGGAAACAAGGAAGAAGGGAGAAAGGAAAACCAGCAGCAGCCGCCUCCCAAUCCGGCGGCUUCGCCUCCAGGAUUACCACCUUUCAACGCCUUCCUUUCCAAGCAAAUUCCUUCCAAAAUGGCCUGCUGAUCUGACCAUCCAUGUCGUUGCUGGAACUACAAAGGACCAGCUAUCUUAAUUAUGUUAUAUCAUAUAUUUAUAUUAUAUUAUCUGAAAAGUGGUCGCGCAUUUUAUCAUUCCUUUUUUCAUAUAGCAGUGGAGGAUCCAACGCAAACUACUGCUGCCUUGCCCCCUGUUUUUGCAUGUCGAUCGUAUACAUAUAGUUCCACGAUGCAAAUUUUUUCAUUACAUCGAAAUCAACGCAUAAUAUAGCCAUAGAGUGGUCAAUGCAAGCAUGCAUUUUGUUUUGAACUGAUGGCUCUUGUUUCGUUUGCAAAAACAGCAAGCAGCAAUGAUAUAAGGGCCCCUUAUUAUAUAUAGUACGUAUAAGGAAUAUCCAUGAUAAGCUAGCGUCGUCGGAUACUACAUGCAUGGAUAGUAGUGAGGAGCUGAUAUGGAUGGAUGAAAAUGAAACCGGCGGCUACAUGCCAUCCAGGGGGCUGCCAACCCUCCAGGAUUUUACUCCGUUCCUCGCCCCUGCGUGCUGCCGCGCCUACUUUACUAAUUUCAACGCCGAAUAUAAUCCUGCCCUGCAAGAAAGUUGAAGUUUUCAAUAUGGAAAAGUGCACCCAUCGAUCGAUCCGCAUUUUACUUAAAAAAAAGAGCAUUUCAGGGGGCUUCGCUAGCUUAUAAAUAGCAACAGCCCUUAUCACCUCACCAUCCAUCACCUAUCUCUCUCUCGAUCUCUCUCAACGUCACUUGCAUCAUCAACAAACAAAUUAAGAUCGAUGAAGAAGGCUUCGUCCCUCUCCGAGCUGGGCUUCGACGCCAACGGCGCGGCAUCGGGCUUCUUCCGCCCCGUCGCCGACGACACCACGCCGACGUCGCACCGCCGGAGGCUCACCAAGGUCUCCGUCAUCGGCGCCGGCAACGUGGGCAUGGCCAUCGCGCAGACCAUCCUGACGCGGGACCUCGCCGACGAGAUCGCGCUGGUGGACGCGGUCCCGGACAAGCUCCGCGGGGAGAUGCUGGACCUGCAGCACGCGGCGGCGUUCCUGCCGCGCACGCGCCUCGUCUCCGACACGGACAUCGCCGUCACCAGGGGCUCCGACCUCGCCAUCGUCACCGCGGGGGCGCGCCAGAUCCCCGGCGAGACGAGGCUCAACCUGCUGCAGAGGAACGUGGCGCUGUUCAGGAAGAUCGUGCCGGCGCUGGCGGAGCACUCGCCGGACGCCAUCCUGCUCAUCGUCUCCAACCCCGUCGACAUCCUCACCUACGUGGCGUGGAAGCUGUCGGGGUUCCCGGUCAACCGCGUCAUCGGCUCCGGCACCAACCUCGACUCCUCCAGGUUCAGGUUCCUCCUCGCCGAGCACCUCGACGUCAACGCGCAGGACGUGCAGGCUUACAUGGUGGGCGAGCACGGCGACAGCUCGGUGGCGAUAUGGUCGACGGUGAGCGUGGCGGGGAUGCCGGUGCUCAAGUCGCUGCAGGAGAGCCACAGCAGCUUCGACGAGGAAGCCCUGGAGAGCAUCCGGCGUGCCGUCGUCAACAGCGCCUACGAGGUGAUCAGCCUCAAGGGAUACACCUCCUGGGCCAUCGGCUACUCCGUCGCCAACCUCGUGGCCUCCAUACUCCGCGACCAGCGCCGCAUCCACCCGGUGUCCGUGCUCGCCACCGGCUUCCACGGCAUAGCCGACGACCACGAGGUGUUCCUCAGCCUGCCCGCUAGGCUUGGCCGUGGCGGCGUCCUGGGCGUCGCGGACAUG
RNAcentral lists this long non-coding RNA (5612 nucleotides) under Setaria viridis. RNAcentral describes it as "long non-coding RNA (SVIR_LNC000004)". The record is from RNAcentral. Lineage: Eukaryota; Viridiplantae; Streptophyta; Magnoliopsida; Poales; Poaceae.